GAGGUCGUAACUCAGUAGGUAGAGUAGCAGACCUUUAAUCUGCAAGUCGGAGGUUCGAUUCCUCCCGGCCUCACCA
RNAcentral lists this transfer RNA (76 nucleotides) under subsurface metagenome. Its description in RNAcentral is "tRNA-Lys". It matches the Rfam family "tRNA". Rfam says of the family: Transfer RNA (tRNA) molecules are approximately 80 nucleotides in length. Their secondary structure includes four short double-helical elements and three loops (D, anti-codon, and T loops). The record is from RNAcentral.